This 101-nucleotide ribosomal RNA is filed under the name Saimiri boliviensis boliviensis (Bolivian squirrel monkey). The record is from RNAcentral. Lineage: Eukaryota; Metazoa; Chordata; Mammalia; Primates; Cebidae.
AUUUACAGCCAUACAUUCUAUCUGAUCUAGGAAGGCAAUCAGAUCUAGCCUGCUUAGUACUUGGAUGGGAGAUUGCCCGGGAAUACUGGGUGUUGCAGGCC